AGUGAACGCUGGCGGUAGGCCUAACACAUGCAAGUCGAACGGCAGCACAGUAAGAGCUUGCUCUUACGGGUGGCGAGUGGCGGACGGGUGAGGAAUACAUCGGAAUCUACUUUUUCGUGGGGGAUAACGUAGGGAAACUUACGCUAAUACCGCAUACGACCUACGGGUGAAAGCAGUGGAUCUUCGGACCUUGCGCGAUUGAAUGAGCCGAUGUCGGAUUAGCUAGUUGGCUGGGUAAAGGCCCACCAAGGCGACGAUCCGUAGCUGGUCUGAGAGGAUGAUCAGCCACACUGGAACUGAGACACGGUCCAGACUCCUACGGGAGGCAGCAGUGGGGAAUAUUGGACAAUGGGCGCAAGCCUGAUCCAGCCAUACCGCGUGGGUGAAGAAGGCCUUCGGGUUGUAUAGCCCUUUUGUUGGGAAAGAAAAGCAGCAGGUUAAUACCCCGCUGUUCUGACGGUACCCAAAGAAUAAGCACCGGCUAACUUCGUG
Molecule: ribosomal RNA, 492 nt
Filed under: uncultured bacterium
Lineage: Bacteria
Description: partial 16S ribosomal RNA
Rfam family: Bacterial small subunit ribosomal RNA
Source: RNAcentral